GAUGAACGCUGGCGGCGUGCCUAAUACAUGCAAGUCGAGCGAACAGACGAGGAGCUUGCUCCUCUGACGUUAGCGGCGGACGGGUGAGUAACACGUGGAUAACCUACCUAUAAGACUGGGAUAACUUCGGGAAACCGGAGCUAAUACCGGAUAAUAUAUUGAACCGCAUGGUUCAAUAGUGAAAGACGGUUUUGCUGUCACUUAUAGAUGGAUCCGCGCCGCAUUAGCUAGUUGGUAAGGUAACGGCUUACCAAGGCGACGAUGCGUAGCCGACCUGAGAGGGUGAUCGGCCACACGGGAACUGAGACACGGUCCAGACUCCUACGGGAGGCAGCAGUAGGGAAUCUUCCGCAGUGGGCGAAAGCUUGACGGAGCAACGCCGCAUGAGUGAUGAAGGUCUUCGGAUCGUAAAACUCUGUUAUUAGGGAAGAACAAAUGUGUAAGUACCUAUGCACGUCUUGACGGUACCUAAUCAGAAAGCCACGGCUAACUACGUG
RNAcentral lists this ribosomal RNA (497 nucleotides) under uncultured bacterium. RNAcentral describes it as "partial 16S ribosomal RNA". It matches the Rfam family "Bacterial small subunit ribosomal RNA", at positions 28 to 507 of the family's 1533-position model. The record is from RNAcentral.